Molecule: ribosomal RNA, 254 nt
Filed under: uncultured bacterium
Lineage: Bacteria
Description: partial 16S ribosomal RNA
Rfam family: Bacterial small subunit ribosomal RNA
Source: RNAcentral
UACGUAGGGGGCGAGCGUUGUCCGGAUUCAUUGGGCGUAAAGAGCUCGUAGGCGGCUUGGCAAGCCGGGUGUGAAACCUCCAGGCUCAACCUGGAGACGCCACCCGGGACUGUUAUGGCUAGAAUCCGGUAGGGGAUCACGGAAUUCCUGGUGUAGCGGUGAAAUGCGUAGAUAUCAGGAGGAAUACCUAUGGCGAAAGCAGGUAUCUGGGCCAUCACUGACGCUGAGCUGCGAAAGCUAGGGGAGCAAACAGG